RNAcentral lists this ribosomal RNA (428 nucleotides) under uncultured bacterium. Its description in RNAcentral is "partial 16S ribosomal RNA". It matches the Rfam family "Bacterial small subunit ribosomal RNA", at positions 354 to 796 of the family's 1533-position model. The record is from RNAcentral.
GUGGGGAAUAUUGGGCAAUGGGGGAAACCCUGACCCAGCAACGCCGCGUGAGGGAAGAAGGUUUUCGGAUUGUAAACCUCUGUCCUUGGUGACGAAGGAAGUGACGGUAGCCAAGGAGGAAGCCCCGGCUAACUACGUGCCAGCAGCCGCGGUAAUACGUAGGGGGCAAGCGUUGUCCGGAAUGACUGGGCGUAAAGGGCGUGUAGGCGGCCGAUUAAGUCUGGAGUGAAAGUCCUGCUUUCAAGGUGGGAAUUGCUUUGGAGACUGGUUGGCUUGAGUGCGGAAGAGGUAAGUGGAAUUCCCAGUGUAGCGGUGAAAUGCGUAGAGAUUGGGAGGAACACCAGUGGCGAAGGCGACUUACUGGGCCGUAACUGACGCUGAGGCGCGAAAGCGUGGGGAGCGAACAGGAUUAGAAACCCGAGUAGUCC